GCCAUUUAUCAAGGUGCCGGAGCUGAACCACGUGGCCUGAAAGUAUUGAGGCGGUCAUAAAUCUGAAACGCCAGGGAGGCAUGUUUCAGUCUAUGCAGGAAAGGGUCAGGAAACAUUCAGCACCAUGUUCAUCAUGACAGGACUGCAGAUGGCAUACAGAGUUUGGCUCAAAUCCAGAGCUAAUUAGUAGGAUGUGAUUUUUACCAAAGCAUAAGCAGGAAGCUGACAUCUGCUGCAUAGUCUUCAUGGUUUCAAUCACUUUAUGAUCAGAAUGUAUUGCUGACAAGUUGUCUGCACAGUACCUGCAGGCUGCAUCUCUUCAACGACAGGAAAUCACUGCUCACCGGCAUCAGCGUCGCCAGGAAGUCCCUGAUCACAUUCACACCUGGAAGCUGCCCAGUACAACCACAGCCUGAUCUGCUGCUGUUGGGGUUAUGGGCCUUGCUCAAGGGCACCUCACUGGUGGUAAAUAAUGGA
Micropterus dolomieu (smallmouth bass) is the source of this 477-nucleotide long non-coding RNA. RefSeq lists it as uncharacterized. The transcript has 3 exons. The record is from RefSeq and is a predicted model, not a curated record. NCBI's taxonomy places the organism in Eukaryota, Metazoa, Chordata, Actinopteri, Centrarchiformes, Centrarchidae.